CGCUGUCCUUUUGACUCUUUUUGUCAUUAAAGGACGUUGGAAGAGGCUUGCACCAAGGCUGUUUGCUUGUCCAGCCCUAGCUCUUUUCUUCUGCGCAUGGGCCUCUUCGAUGCUCGAAGCUUAGCGUCCCCCCAUGAGUACGCGCUUCCUGCUUUCCCGUGCUUGCUUGCCUGUGCUCUGUGGGGCAGCUUUAUGACAACCGUCCCGCGUGUCAGGCGUUCCCGAUUUCCCCGUGGUGGUUGUCGUCCGUUACCGGUAGGAGUCGUUGGUGCCGAGUGCGACUGGAAGGGUUUUCCCGUUUGGUGCUAGUGACCCCCUGGCGUGCUCCUCUGCGGCCGACCGGUUUUUUUAUUUGUUUUUUUUUUUUUGUUUUUUUUUUGUUUUUUGGAAGGAG
RNAcentral lists this long non-coding RNA (394 nucleotides) under Androctonus crassicauda. The record is from RNAcentral. Lineage: Eukaryota; Metazoa; Arthropoda; Arachnida; Scorpiones; Buthidae.